GUGGCUCAGUGGUAGAGUGCUUGCCUAGCACGCAUGAGGCACUGGGUUCCAUCCCCAGC
This 59-nucleotide transfer RNA is filed under the name Ictidomys tridecemlineatus (thirteen-lined ground squirrel). RNAcentral describes it as "Spermophilus tridecemlineatus (thirteen-lined ground squirrel) tRNA". It matches the Rfam family "tRNA", at positions 7 to 64 of the family's 71-position model. Rfam says of the family: Transfer RNA (tRNA) molecules are approximately 80 nucleotides in length. Their secondary structure includes four short double-helical elements and three loops (D, anti-codon, and T loops). The record is from Rfam by way of RNAcentral. Lineage: Eukaryota; Metazoa; Chordata; Mammalia; Rodentia; Sciuridae.